Molecule: ribosomal RNA, 369 nt
Filed under: uncultured bacterium
Lineage: Bacteria
Description: bacterial SSU rRNA
Rfam family: Bacterial small subunit ribosomal RNA
Source: RNAcentral
GUAGGGUGCAGGCGUUAAUCGGAAUUACUGGGCGUAAAGCGUGCGCAGGCGGCUCCUUAAGUCAGAUGUGAAAUCCCCGGGCUUAACCUGGGAACUGCGUUUGAAACUGGGGAGCUAGAGUGUGGAAGAGGGGGGUGGAAUUCCAGGUGUAGCAGUGAAAUGCGUAGAGAUCUGGAGGAACACCGAUGGCGAAGGCAGCCCCCUGGGCUAACACUGACGCUCAUGCACGAAAGCGUGGGGAGCAAACAGGAUUAGAUACCCUGGUAGUCCACGCCCUAAACGAUGUCAACUAGUUGUUAGGGAAGCAAUUCCUUGGUAACGAAGCUAACGCGUGAAGUUGACCGCCUGGGGAGUACGGCCGCAAGGUUA